This 366-nucleotide ribosomal RNA is filed under the name uncultured organism. RNAcentral's name for it is "bacterial SSU rRNA". It matches the Rfam family "Bacterial small subunit ribosomal RNA", at positions 526 to 896 of the family's 1533-position model. The record is from RNAcentral.
CGGAGGAUCCAAGCGUUAUCCGGAAUCAUUGGGUUUAAAGGGUCCGUAGGCGGUUUAGUAAGUCAGUGGUGAAAGCCCAUCGCUCAACGGUGGAAUGGCCAUUGAUACUGCUAGACUUGAAUUAUUAGGAAGUAACUAGAAUAUGUAGUGUAGCGGUGAAAUGCUUAGAGAUUACAUGGAAUACCAAUUGCGAAGGCAGGUUACUACUAAUGGAUUGACGCUGAUGGACGAAAGCGUGGGUAGCGAACAGGAUUAGAUACCCUGGUAGUCCACGCCGUAAACGAUGGAUACUAGCUGUUGGGAGCAAUUUCAGUGGCUAAGCGAAAGUGAUAAGUAUCCCACCUGGGGAGUACGUUCGCAAGAAUG